UAUUUAGUGGGAACGUGAUCACAAAACUCUUUGAAACGUGGAGCGAUGAAAACUAAAGGGAUUGUUUGGUCCAUGAGUUUGGAAUCAGGGAGGUUUGGUACUUGAAGCAUACAAUUUUCGUUUACUGAUGUUAUUAUGAACCAUACCAUUUUCGUUUAGGAUCCAUCUCUCAGCUUGCUGGGACCAUUAUUCACUGCAAUAGGAGGGAGAUCAUUUUCUAUGUUCUGCCUGAUAAUUGAUUCUCUGUCAUUCAUCCGUCCUCUCGGCACGAUGCUCUAAUCAUUUAUGCUAAUAUUGAAAGGAUGAAAGCCCUAUGGCAGCAGAAUAAUUUAAAGAAUCAUUUUUCAAAUUAAUUUGGAAAUCUUAAAAUACCGGUACAUUGGCAAAAUUUUAGAAUCAAAAUUCUAAAUAAAUUCUAAGUAUGCUUUUAAAGAAUAAGAUACAAUAACUUACUUUCGAUGACGUCUCUGAAUUUACAAAUCAAUCUCCAAAUUAGGACAUCACCCGUCGGAGACUUUCCUAUCAUUUGGGAUGAGAUUGGUUUGUGUGAACCAAUUGAGAUGGAAAAAUACUUGGAGAUAUUUGAGAGAAACUCUUUUUUCUCUCAAUUU
Molecule: long non-coding RNA, 611 nt
Filed under: Cucumis sativus (cucumber)
Lineage: Eukaryota; Viridiplantae; Streptophyta; Magnoliopsida; Cucurbitales; Cucurbitaceae
Description: long non-coding RNA (CSAT_LNC000102)
Source: RNAcentral